GUCAAAUGUCAACCAUCGGGCCAAGAGAAAAACCUAUAAUUGACCCCGGCAGCACCACUGUGUUCCCUCAUCCACAUAAAGAUUCCACUGGACAAGGUCACCUAGCAACGGCUCUUAUUAUCGCCAUGUCAACCAUUUUCAUCAUGGCCAUCGCCAUCGUCCUCAUCAUCAUGUUUUAUAUCCUGAAGGCCAAACCGAGUGGCCAGGCCUGUUGUUCCGGACAAGUUGUGAAGGCAGUGGAAGCUCAGACCAGCAAACAGGAAGACA
Non-coding RNA from Plectropomus leopardus (leopard coralgrouper), 267 nucleotides. Lineage: Eukaryota; Metazoa; Chordata; Actinopteri; Perciformes; Serranidae. The record is from RefSeq and is a predicted model, not a curated record.